Molecule: long non-coding RNA, 902 nt
Organism: Cylas formicarius (sweet potato weevil)
Lineage: Eukaryota; Metazoa; Arthropoda; Insecta; Coleoptera; Brentidae
Exons: 3
Source: RefSeq, a predicted model, not a curated record
CUUUUGUGAGGGGGUCGGACAUACAUAUGGUUUUAUAUUUUUUCGACAUCGAAAAAAUAGAGUUUUCUGGCUCGUCCGGCUAUGGAUGAGGCGCCCGGGAUACUGGGACAUAAUGAACAAUUUUUUAUGGCUGUUGGAAUGCAUUUACUCCAUCCUAUGGGGUCGAUAGUCCCAACACAAAGUUUGAUGUGUCAUGACAUUUUGGCAAGUCAGAUUAAUACCUUUUUGAAAUCCGGUGUGUCCGAAGAUUGUCUCAGUGACCUUUUGCGUUGAUAUCCUGUGCCGAAGAAUUGCCCGCUCAAUAACUCUCCUAAAUUGAAUGUGCAGAUGAAAUCUGCCAUCAACAAAGGUGGAAAGAAAAGGGAUGAGAGACUGACUGCAACAAGGGGUGCUUUGAUGGUGGUUGGUAGGGCGCUCUUGACCUUGCUUUUGAAACCGGUUAAGGAUGAGUAGUACUUACUUCUCAUCGAAAUGUUGAGUAAUGCAAUAUUUGUUUUAAGCAAAAUACACCAUUUAGGUUCAGUAUAUAGAAGUUCAGCCGCGUUAAGCCUUUCGCUGGUCUAAAAUGAAAUGCAGCCUUGUAUGAAGGAAGUGCUCGUUGGUGCUUCUUUGCACUCUUGUUUAUAUGGAGAAGAUUUGGCUGAUAGGCUCAAAUCAAUCAGAUUAGCUGCAGAUUAGUGGCCGAGUUAAAGUCAGGUGCAUCCGGAACAAGGCUUUUAUAGCAUACAAAUUUAAACUUGACCGUCCCACUUCGUUCCCGGAAGUUGCAAGGCUGAAGUGGGUGAAAGUCAUUGUACCCUCAAAAGAGGGAAUACAGGAAGGUUCGAGAGGAAAGGGGGUGGAGUUGUGUCCCCAGGAAAAAAUAAUCCGGAGGCAUCUAAUGAAGACGCGUUUACUGUUUU